AUGAACGCUGGCGGCGUGCUUAACACAUGCAAGUCGAACGGAAAGGCCCAAGCUUGCUUGGGUACUCGAGUAGCGAACGGGUGAGUAACACGUGGGUGAUCUGCCCUGCACUUCGGGAUAAGCCUGGGAAACUGGGUCUAAUACCGGAUAGGACCACAUUUUGGAUGGUGUGGUGGAAAGUUUUUCGGUGUGGGAUGAGCUCGCGGCCUAUCAGCUUGUUGGUGGGGUAAUGGCCUACCAAGGCGUCGACGGGUAGCCGGCCUGAGAGGGUGUACGGCCACAUUGGGACUGAGAUACGGCCCAGACUCCUACGGGAGGCAGCAGUGGGGAAUAUUGCACAAUGGGCGCAAGCCUGAUGCAGCGACGCCGCGUGGGGGAUGACGGCCUUCGGGUUGUAAACUCCUUUCGCUAGGGACGAAGCGUUUUUGUGACGGUACCUGGAGAAGAAGCACCGGCUAACUACGUG
RNAcentral lists this ribosomal RNA (466 nucleotides) under uncultured bacterium. RNAcentral's name for it is "partial 16S ribosomal RNA". It matches the Rfam family "Bacterial small subunit ribosomal RNA", at positions 29 to 507 of the family's 1533-position model. The record is from RNAcentral.